UAAUAGAGCUACUUACAAUCUGCC
RNAcentral lists this non-coding RNA (24 nucleotides) under Arabidopsis thaliana (thale cress). The record is from RNAcentral. Lineage: Eukaryota; Viridiplantae; Streptophyta; Magnoliopsida; Brassicales; Brassicaceae.